UACGUAGGGGGCAAGCGUUGUCCGGAAUCAUUGGGCGUAAAGCGCGUGUAGGCGGUUCUGUAAGUCUGCUGUGAGAGUCCAGGGCUCAACCCUGGGAUGCCGGUGGAUACUGCAGGGCUAGAGUACGGAAGAGGCGAGUGGAAUUCCCGGUGUAGCGGUGAAAUGCGCAGAUAUCGGGAGGAACACCUAUUGCGAAGGCAGCUCGCUGGGACGUUACUGACGCUGAGGCGCGACAGCGUGGGGAGCAAACAGG
Molecule: ribosomal RNA, 253 nt
Filed under: uncultured bacterium
Lineage: Bacteria
Description: partial 16S ribosomal RNA
Rfam family: Bacterial small subunit ribosomal RNA
Source: RNAcentral